GGCCUAAAGACAUUUCAAAAAUAAAAUCAUUCUCAGCUGAAAGAACUUGACAUGAAAUACGAAUAUCAGAAGAUGGAUGUGCCAAUCACUGCUGUGACUGUGCAAUUGUGACUCUUCACUAAACUUCUGCUUAGAUUGUUACUAAUGUUGAACAUGCUAAGUCUUGAUGUAUGCUGGGAGAACUGCACAUUACGUCAAAGAACAACAGAGCCAUUACUCACUUAAGAAAGCAACAGGGCUUCUUGGAAUUAGGACAGAUAAUGUAAUUCCAGUGAACUGUGAUAAAAGAUUGCACCCAAGAUUAAAGCACAGAUGACAGAAGGAGUGGCAACAGCUGACAACCAGCCACAAGCAUGCUCCCUCUCCUACUGCUUGCUGGGAAUAUACUCUUCUCAUCCCAUGAGGCCUCUGACAAAGAUUUCAAAGCAGAACAGAAUUCUCCAUGCAAGUGGAACAACGAGAGGAAAACAGCAUGAUUAUUUGGCAAGGGAGAAGAAACAAGUCAUUUGAAAGCAAAAUUAUCAUCUUCAUCACAAGUGCCUGCCUUCUGACCAAAUGUUUCUGAAUAUUUCCAUUCAGAUGCAGACAGUGGCAAUGCCAUGAAAGAUGACAUUGUCCCUAAGGCCAGGAGUGUGGAAGGAGCAGAGGGUUCUGAUCACAGCUGACCUGUAUCCUCUGAUGCUUUGUUCUCAUCCUGAACUAAACAAAACAAAACCUAAAAUAAUUGGGCAGAUAUUGUCCUCAUUUACACCUCUGAAAAUCCUGUUACAUUCAGCAAGGCUUUACAAAGAAGACAAAACUCAUCCCUUGCAAAUUAACAAAUGAACACAUAAUGAAAAAUAAAUUGGUUGCUUUUCAUUUC
Long non-coding RNA from Apus apus (common swift), 862 nucleotides. RefSeq lists it as uncharacterized. NCBI's taxonomy places the organism in Eukaryota, Metazoa, Chordata, Aves, Apodiformes, Apodidae. The transcript has 7 exons. The record is from RefSeq and is a predicted model, not a curated record.